RNAcentral lists this ribosomal RNA (672 nucleotides) under uncultured Actinomycetes bacterium. Its description in RNAcentral is "bacterial SSU rRNA". It matches the Rfam family "Bacterial small subunit ribosomal RNA", at positions 748 to 1422 of the family's 1533-position model. Lineage: Bacteria; Bacillati; Actinomycetota; Actinomycetes. The record is from RNAcentral.
GAGGAGCGAAAGCGUGGGGAGCGAACAGGAUUAGAUACCCUGGUAGUCCACGCCGUAAACGGUGGGCGCUAGUUGUGCGAACCUUCCACGGUUUGUGCGACGCAGCUAACGCAUUAAGCGCCCCGCCUGGGGAGUACGAUCGCAAGAUUAAAACUCAAAGGAAUUGACGGGGCCCCGCACAAGCAGCGGAGCAUGCGGCUUAAUUCGACGCAACGCGAAGAACCUUACCAAGGCUUGACAUAUACAGGAAUACGGCAGAGAUGUCGUAGCCGCAAGGUCUGUAUACAGGUGGUGCAUGGUUGUCGUCAGCUCGUGUCGUGAGAUGUUGGGUUAAGUCCCGCAACGAGCGCAACCCUCGUUCUGUGUUGCCAGCAUUUAGUUGGGGACUCACAGGAGACUGCCGGGGUUAACUCGGAGGAAGGUGGGGAUGACGUCAAAUCAUCAUGCCCCUUAUGUCUUGGGCUGCACGCAUGCUACAAUGGCUGGUACAAACGGCUGCAAUACCGCAAGGUGGAGCGAAUCCGAGAAAGCCAGUCUCAGUUCGGAUUGGGGUCUGCAACUCGACCCCAUGAAGUCGGAGUUGCUAGUAAUCGUAGAUCAGCAACGCUACGGUGAAUACGUUCCCGGGGCUUGUACACACCGCCCGUCACAUCACGAAAGUCGGUAACACCC